Molecule: unclassified non-coding RNA, 330 nt
Filed under: soil metagenome
Description: partial contains 5.8S ribosomal RNA, internal transcribed spacer 2, and large subunit ribosomal RNA
Rfam family: 5.8S ribosomal RNA (bases 1-120)
Source: RNAcentral
GAUGAAGAACGCAGCGAAAUGCGAUAAGUAAUGUGAAUUGCAGAAUUCAGUGAAUCAUCGAAUCUUUGAACGCACAUUGCGCCCCUUGGUAUUCCAUGGGGCAUGCCUGUUCGAGCGUCAUUUGUACCCUCAAGCUUUGCUUGGUGUUGGGCGUCUUGUCGUAUUACGACUCGCCUUAAAUACAUUGGCAGCCGGCACUUUGGCCUAGGAGCGCAGCACAUUUUGCGAUCGUAGCCCGUUGUACUGGCGUCCAUCAAGAACAUUUACCACGUUUGACCUCGGAUCAGGUAGGGAUACCCGCUGAACUUAAGCAUAUCAAUAAGCGGAGGA